This 497-nucleotide ribosomal RNA is filed under the name uncultured bacterium. Its description in RNAcentral is "partial 16S ribosomal RNA". It matches the Rfam family "Bacterial small subunit ribosomal RNA", at positions 28 to 507 of the family's 1533-position model. The record is from RNAcentral.
GACGAACGCUGGCGGCGUGCCUAAUACAUGCAGGUUGAGCGCUGAAGGUUGGUACUUGUACCAACUGGAUGAGCAGCGAACGGGUGAGUAACGCGUGGGGAAUCUGCCUUUGAGCGGGGGACAACAUUUGGAAACGAAUGCUAAUACCGCAUAAAAACUUUAAACACAAGUUUUAAGUUUGAAAGAUGCAAUUGCAUCACUCAAAGAUGAUCCCGCGUUGUAUUAGCUAGUUGGUGAGGUAAAGGCUCACCAAGGCGAUGAUACAUAGCCGACCUGAGAGGGUGGUCGGCCACAUUGGGACUGAGACACGGCCCAAACUCCUACGGGAGGCAGCAGUAGGGAAUCUUCGGCCAUGGACGAAAGUCUGACCGAGCAACGCCGCGUGAGUGAAGAAGGUUUUCGGAUCGUAAAACUCUGUUGGUAGAGAAGAACGUUGGUGAGAGUGGAAAGCUCAUCAAGUGACGGUAACUACCCAGAAAGGGACGGCUAACUACGUG